Molecule: long non-coding RNA, 799 nt
Organism: Oenanthe melanoleuca
Lineage: Eukaryota; Metazoa; Chordata; Aves; Passeriformes; Muscicapidae
Exons: 5
Source: RefSeq, a predicted model, not a curated record
UAAACAUGCUGGGGAGGAGCAGACUGUGGGUUCUGAUAAGAGCAGUGUAGUGUCAGCCGUAUGAAACCUGCUCGGGAAGAGCCCAGUAAAGCCACAGGAGCCCUGGCCCAGCCUGAGCAGCCCCAGCCCGGCUCGUCCUUCCCCCUCAGCUCCCGUGAGAGGCACUCGGGGGGAAAGGGCUCCCUGGGGGACAGUGCCAGGGUCUGACCCCCGAGGAGGGGAGAGCCCCAGCCCUGCUCUGGCAGAGACAGAACAUCAAGAGUUAAAGAGAAAGUGAAACUCAGCAAGUGGUUCCAAAAUUUAUCGAACAUCACCUGAUGUAAUGUAGGGUUCAAUAUCUCUGGUCCACCCUUGUGCACUUGGCCUCCUCGCUUGAACAGCACACAGAAAACAGGGACCAGGCCUAGAGCAGACUCAUCACAGCUCUUGCUCACACCAUGGUCUUUCUUGCAGUUGCUGUUGCAUUCCUUGUCGGAAUCGCCGUAGGAGCUGCAAUUUUAGCAGCAGCAAAGAAUAAGUCUGUGGACAUCUCUGUAAAUUCCCAGGGUUUACGAUUCCGUAUUGGGAGAAAACUAAAGGCCCAAGCUCUGGGCAGCAGCACAUGCUAUGAUGUCCAGAAGAAGAACUGAUGAGCCCUGCCAGUCAGGAGAAGCACAUUUCCUUCCUUCCAAGCAGCCUGAUUUGUACCUUCUCACUGCAGGAACUGGAAAGCCUUCCCCGGCCUCCAGCUACUGCUUUAAAAUAUUUUAAUUACCUUGAUCAAUAAAUGCUUUGAAAAGUUCAAUAAAGUGCAUUGCAG